This 253-nucleotide ribosomal RNA is filed under the name uncultured bacterium. Its description in RNAcentral is "partial 16S ribosomal RNA". It matches the Rfam family "Bacterial small subunit ribosomal RNA", at positions 524 to 776 of the family's 1533-position model. The record is from RNAcentral.
UACGGGGGGGGCAAGCGUUGUUCGGAAUUACUGGGCGUAAAGGGUGCGUAGGCGGGCCUUUAAGUCAGUGGUGAAAUCUCCCCGCUCAACGGGGAAACUGCCAUUGAUACUAUUGGUCUUGAAUUUAGUUGAGGUGGGCGGAAUGUGUCGUGUAGCGGUGAAAUGCUUAGAUAUGACACAGAACACCGAUUGCGAAGGCAGCUCGCUAAACUAAUAUUGACGCUGAGGCACGAAAGCGUGGGGAUCAAACAGG